This 649-nucleotide ribosomal RNA is filed under the name Marinobacter lipolyticus. Its description in RNAcentral is "bacterial SSU rRNA". It matches the Rfam family "Bacterial small subunit ribosomal RNA", at positions 84 to 729 of the family's 1533-position model. The record is from RNAcentral. Lineage: Bacteria; Pseudomonadati; Pseudomonadota; Gammaproteobacteria; Pseudomonadales; Marinobacteraceae.
CCCGCUGACGAGCGGCGGACGGGUGAGUAAUGCUUAGGAAUCUGCCCAGUAGUGGGGGAUAGCCCGGGGAAACCCGGAUUAAUACCGCAUACGUCCUACGGGAGAAAGCAGGGGAUCUUCGGACCUUGCGCUACUGGAUGAGCCUAAGUCGGAUUAGCUAGUUGGUGGGGUAAAGGCCUACCAAGGCGACGAUCCGUAGCUGGUCUGAGAGGAUGAUCAGCCACAUCGGGACUGAGACACGGCCCGAACUCCUACGGGAGGCAGCAGUGGGGAAUAUUGGACAAUGGGGGCAACCCUGAUCCAGCCAUGCCGCGUGUGUGAAGAAGGCUUUCGGGUUGUAAAGCACUUUCAGUGAGGAGGAAGGCUCAAAGGUUAAUACCCUUUGGGAUUGACGUUACUCACAGAAGAAGCACCGGCUAACUCCGUGCCAGCAGCCGCGGUAAUACGGAGGGUGCAAGCGUUAAUCGGAAUUACUGGGCGUAAAGCGCGCGUAGGUGGUUUGAUAAGCGAGAUGUGAAAGCCCCGGGCUUAACCUGGGAACGGCAUUUCGAACUGUCUGACUAGAGUGUGGUAGAGGGUAGUGGAAUUUCCUGUGUAGCGGUGAAAUGCGUAGAUAUAGGAAGGAACACCAGUGGCGAAGGCGGCUACC